UGGGGAAUAUUGGACAAUGGGGGCAACCCUGAUCCAGCAAUGCCGCGUGUGUGAAGAAGGUCUUCGGAUUGUAAAGCACUUUCGACGGGGACGAUGAUGACGGUACCCGUAGAAGAAGCCCCGGCUAACUUCGUGCCAGCAGCCGCGGUAAUACGAAGGGGGCUAGCGUUGCUCGGAAUGACUAGGCGUAAAGGGCGUGUAGGCGGUUUACACAGUCAGAUGUGAAAUCCCCGGGCUUAACCUGGGAGCUGCAUUUGAUACGUGUAGACUAGAGUGUGAGAGAGGGUUGUGGAAUUCCCGGUGUAGAGGUGAAAUUCGUAGAUAUUGGGAAGAACACCGGUGGCGAAGGCGGCAACCUGGCUCAUGACUGACGCUGAGGCGCGAAAGCGUGGGGAGCAAACAGGAUUAGAUACCCUGGUAGUCCACGCUGUAAACGAUGUGUGCUAGAUGUUGGGUAACU
RNAcentral lists this ribosomal RNA (460 nucleotides) under uncultured bacterium. RNAcentral's name for it is "partial 16S ribosomal RNA". It matches the Rfam family "Bacterial small subunit ribosomal RNA", at positions 355 to 832 of the family's 1533-position model. The record is from RNAcentral.